GGUGAGUAACACGUGGGUAACCUGCCUGWAAGACUGGGAUAACUCCGGGAAACCGGGGCUAAUACCGGAUGGUUGUUUGAACCGCAUGGUUCAAACAUAAAAGGUGGCUUCGGCUACCACUUACAGAUGGACCCGCGGCGCAUUAGCUAGUUGGUGAGGUAAYGGCUCACCAAGGCAACGSUGCGUAGCCGACCUGAGAGGGUGAUCGGCCACACUGGGACUGARACACGGCCCARACUCCUACGGGAGGCAGCAGUAGGGAAUCUUCCGCAAUGGACGAAAGUCUGACGGAGCAACGCCGCGUGAGUGAUGAAGGUUUUGGGAUCGUAARCCUCUGUUGUUAGGSAGAACARUACCGUUCGAWWAGGGCGGACUUGC
Molecule: ribosomal RNA, 378 nt
Filed under: Bacillus subtilis
Lineage: Bacteria; Bacillati; Bacillota; Bacilli; Caryophanales; Bacillaceae
Description: partial 16S ribosomal RNA
Source: RNAcentral